UUUUGGCAAAAAAAAAAAAAAAACAAAUUCGUCUGGUUUUGUUUAACUUGGUUAUAUUUCAUUAUUUUUAUUUACAAUUGAGUGUUUAUAAUUGUUUUAAUAGUUAAAAAACAUUAAAAUUAAUUUAAUUUUCUUCUUGGAGUACUUAAUGCAAAAAGAUUAGAUGAUCAAGAAUCUGUUAAUUUUGGCUACAACUCAUCACCAGGAAUAGACUUUCAAUUAAAAAACAAAGAUCAAUGGCGAAAGAUCUUGGGAACAUUUGAUCUCAUCAAAGACAAAACUCCAGAAAACAAAACAAAUCUUCGAAGAAAACCUUCGAUUCGAAAGAAACAAAUCAUAAAGCGAAAUAUAUCAAGAAAUACACCAAGUAGAUCUAUACUAUCAUCUAACUUUGCAAACACAGAAAACGAACCAAAUUCUACUCAACCAAAUUUGGAUGAAUCUGAGAUUGUUUGGUCUUCAUCAAACGAAGAAUCGGAUAAUUCUUCAGACACCGCAAAUAUAAACAUGAAAUCAAAAGUUUCAAAUCGUAAAAAUCAUUUGAAACUUAGUCAUUACGAAACGGAGAUCAAUUGGUCAUCCUCCGAUUCCGAAAAUGAUGAAAACUCCACUCAAAAGAGUCGCCUCUGCUCUGUUUCCUCACAAAUUGAUUCCGAAUCCGACCUGAACUUAUUUCUUAGAGAAAUAGAAAAGGAUCUUCGUCGAACAAAGAAGAUUAAUCAAAGACUAACAACAAAAAAAGGAGGAUAUGGAGAUCGUUUUCGAAGAGCCGUUAACAAAGCAAAGUCAGACACAUGCUUCCUAGACUAUGAACACAAAGCAGAAAUAAUAUUUGGUACCAGAGGAGUUAUAAGAGAAAAGAAGGUGUCUUACGGAUCAUGUUUUUCAAAUGUUCAACUGGAAACAGGAUCAAAAGAAUGCAUGUUCUUGGGGAAAAACCUGCAAGCAAAUGAUGUUGGGAGUUCUGUAGUUUGCUUUCUUGAUGAUUCUCAAUUUUAUACCGUAAAUGGUAGCAAUGUGUACAUACAACCCAAUAAAGUGAUUAGAUCUUAAAAAAAUA
RNA transcript from Episyrphus balteatus (marmalade hoverfly), 1060 nucleotides. RefSeq lists it as uncharacterized. NCBI's taxonomy places the organism in Eukaryota, Metazoa, Arthropoda, Insecta, Diptera, Syrphidae. The transcript has 3 exons. The record is from RefSeq and is a predicted model, not a curated record.